RNAcentral lists this ribosomal RNA (912 nucleotides) under uncultured archaeon. RNAcentral's name for it is "bacterial SSU rRNA". It matches the Rfam family "Archaeal small subunit ribosomal RNA", at positions 1 to 915 of the family's 1478-position model. The record is from RNAcentral.
UUCCGGUUGAUCCUGCCGGAGACCACUGCUAUUGGGGUUCGAUUAAGCCAUGCGAGCGGAGGGCAGUUCGGCUGCCCCGCGGACGGCUCAGUAACACGUAGUCAACCUACCCUUGGGUCGGGGAUAACCCCGGGAAACUGGGGAUAAUCCCCGAUAGGUGGGGGUACUGGAAAAGUCCCUCUCCCAAAGCUCCGGCGCCCAAGGACGGGACUGCGGCCCAUCAGGUAGUUGGCGGGGUAACGGCCCACCAAGCCGACAACGGGUACGGGCUGUGAGAGCAGGAGCCCGGAGAUGGAGACUGAGACAAGGCUCCAGGCCCUACGGGGCGCAGCAGGUGCGAAAACUUCGCAAUGCGUGCAAGCGUGACGAGGGAAUCCCAAGUGCCGAUGGUCUUUCUGAUCGUCGGCUUUUCAAGAGUUUAAAUCGCUCUUGGAAUAAGAGCUGGGUAAGACUGGUGCCAGCCGCCGCGGUAACACCAGCAGCUCAAGUGGUGGUCGCGAUUAUUGGGCCUAAAGCGUCUGUAGCCGGGCCAGUAAGUCCCCUGUGAAAUCGGACGGCUCAACCGUUCGGCGUGCAGGGGAAACUACAGGUCUUGAGGCCGGGAGACGUCGAGGGUACUCCGGGGGUAGCGGUGAAAUGCUGUAAUCCCUGGGGGACCACCAGUGGCGUAGCGCUCGACGAGAACGGACCUGACGGUGAGGGACGAAAGCUGGGGGAGCGAACCGGAUUAGAUACCCGGGUAGUCCCAGCUGUAAAGUAUGUGGGCCAGGUGUAGGGCGCUCCACGAGGGCGCCCGGUGCCGUAGGGAAGCCGUUAGGCCCACCGCCUGGGAAGUACGGCCGCAAGGCUGAAACUUAAAGAAUUGGCGGGGGGAGCACCACAAGGGGUGGAGCCUGCGUUAUGAUCACGCGA